UACGUAGGUGGCGAGCGUUGUCCGGAUUUACUGGGCGUAAAGAGCGCGCAGGCGGUCGUCCAAGUCGGGUGUGAAAGCCCCCGGCUCAACUGGGGAGGGUCACGCGAUACUGAUCGACUCGAAGGCAGGAGAGGGUAGUGGAAUUCCCGGUGUAGUGGUGAAAUGCGUAGAUAUCGGGAGGAACACCAGUGGCGAAGGCGACUACCUGGCCUGUUCUUGACGCUGAGGCGCGAAAGCUAGGGGAGCAAACGGG
RNAcentral lists this ribosomal RNA (253 nucleotides) under uncultured bacterium. RNAcentral describes it as "partial 16S ribosomal RNA". It matches the Rfam family "Bacterial small subunit ribosomal RNA", at positions 524 to 776 of the family's 1533-position model. The record is from RNAcentral.